GAGAUCCAGGCGGCCGGCGCGCAACCCCCACACAUACGACGGGUCCGCGAGCACAAGGGCGACGGCGUCGUCGAUUUCAAACAUGGGCGCUGCGCCGUCCGUAUAGGUGCUCACGACAUUGUCGACGUUGAGCGCAAGCGCGGCGACCGCCUUGUUGUCGCUCUGCCUGGUCAGGCCGAGAUGGAAGGCCGAGCCGAUCGUCAGCGCCGUCAGUAAAGCGAUCGCAAGGGUCCGCAGAGAUGGCUUGUUGGGCGAGUCAUCGGGGUUGGCCGGCGGCGCGGCCUCGCCCGUCAGAUACAGCAGGAUGAUCAGCGGCGCGACGAGCACGAUGGCCGACACGAUCGACCUGUACGCCCAACGCACCCCGUCGACCGGCGGGGGUGCGGGAAAGGCACUGCGCCGCGGCGAGCCGACAAGGUAAUCUUGUUCUUGCAUUUGGUUAUUGUGGUGUUUGGCGAGGGCUGGCGUCUGCCCUUUGUGUGGAUGCGGUGGGCGUCUGUGCUCUUUCUCUUCUUUUCUGAAAAACAAAAAAGUUUGCUCUGUCGGCGCGCUCUUUACGGGAGAGAAAGGCGCAUGCGACGGGUUUGGCUCUCUCUUUUUUUUUAUUUGACGAUCGACCCCAACAGAGGGCGCAAUUCGCCCAUUCGCGGUGGCAUCUUUUUCGUCGACAU
Molecule: long non-coding RNA, 671 nt
Filed under: Pandoravirus dulcis
Description: putative ncRNA
Source: RNAcentral